RNAcentral lists this ribosomal RNA (250 nucleotides) under uncultured bacterium. RNAcentral's name for it is "partial 16S ribosomal RNA". It matches the Rfam family "Bacterial small subunit ribosomal RNA", at positions 524 to 773 of the family's 1533-position model. The record is from RNAcentral.
UACGGAGGGGGCAAGCGUUGUUCGGAAUUAUUGGGCGUAAAGGGCGCGUAGGCGGCCAUGCAAGUCGGUUGUGAAAUCCCUUGGCUCAACCAAGGAACUGCGUCCGAAACUGCAUGGCUCGAGUCCGGGAGAGGGUAGUGGAAUUCCCAGUGUAGCGGUGAAAUGCGUAGAUAUUGGGAGGAACACCGGUGGCGAAGGCGGCUACCUGGACCGGUACUGACGCUGAGGCGCGAAAGCUAGGGGAGCAAAC